GAUGAACGCUAGCUACAGGCUUAACACAUGCAAGUCGAGGGACCGGGACACGGGAGAGUAACACGUAUCCAACCUGCCUUUUACUCGAGGAUAGCCGUUCGAAAGAAAGAUUAAUACCUGAUAUAAUGGAUGGGGAUGCGUUCCAUUAGGUUGUUGGUGAGGUAACGGCUUACCAAGCCUUCGCUGGAUAGGGGUGCUGAGGGGAAGGUCCCCCACAUUGGAGCUGAGACCCGGUCCAAACUCCUACGGGAGGCAGCAGUGAGGAAUAUUGGGCAAUGGGCGCUAGCCUGAACCAGCCAAGUAGCGUGAAGGAUGAAGGCUUAUGGGUCUUAUACUUCUUUUAUAUAAGAAUAUGUAUUAUAUGAAUAAGGAUCGGCUAACUCCGUGCCAGCAGCCGCGGUAAUUC
RNAcentral lists this ribosomal RNA (406 nucleotides) under uncultured bacterium. RNAcentral describes it as "partial 16S ribosomal RNA". It matches the Rfam family "Bacterial small subunit ribosomal RNA", at positions 28 to 526 of the family's 1533-position model. The record is from RNAcentral.